CUUGGUCAUUUAGAGGAAGUAAAAGUCGUAACAAGGUUUCCGUAGGUGAACCUGCGGAAGGAUCAUUACAGAGAACUGCCUCCGGGCAAUCUCCCACCCUUUGUCUACCGUGCCUUGUUGCUUUGGCAGGCCCGCCCUAGGGCCGCCGGCUCUGCUGGCCAGCGCCUGCCAGAGGAUCACAACUCGAGUUAGUGUCGUCUGAGUACCAUUAAAUAGUUAAAAAACUUUCAACAACGGAUCUCUUGGUUCUGGCAUCGAUGAAGAACGCAGCGAAAUGCGAUAAGUAAUGUGAAUUGCAGAAUUCAGUGAAUCAUCGAAUCUUUGAACGCACAUUGCACCCUCUGGUAUUCCGGAGGGUAUGCCUGUUCGAGCGUCAUUACAACCAUCAAGCGCCGCUUGGAGUUGGGCGUCGCCGGCUCACGGCGCGUCCUAAAAUCAGUGGCGGUACCGUCUGGCUCCGAGCGUAGUAAUCUCUCUCGCUUUGGGGCCCGGACGGGGGCCUGCCAGAAGACAACCAUAUCGUAGGGUUGACCUCGGAUCAGGUAGGGAUACCCGCUGAACUUAAGCAUAUCAAUAAGCGGAGGAAAAGAAACCAACAGGGAUUGCCUCAGUAACGGCGAGUGAAGCGGCAACAGCUCAAAUUUGAAAUCUGGCCCUCGGGCCCGAGUUGUAAUUUGUAGAGGAUGCUUCGGGCGUGGUCCGGUCUAAGUUCCUUGGAACAGGACGUCGUAGAGGGUGAGAAUCCCGUAUGCGGCCGGGUGCCUAAGCCUAUGUGAAGCUCCUUCGAUGAGUCGGGUUGUUUGGGAAUGCAGCUCAAAAUGGGUGGUAAAUUUCAUCUAAAGCUAAAUACUGGCCAGAGACCGAUAGCGCACAAGUAGAGUGAUCGAAAGAUGAAAAGCACUUUGGAAAGAGAGUUAAAUAGUACGUGAAAUUGUUGAAAGGGAAGCGCUUGCAACCAGACUUGCGUGCGGCUGAUCAUCUGGCGUUCUCGCCGGUGCACUCGGCCGCACACAGGCCAGCAUCGGUUCUGGUGGCUAGACAAAGGCCCUGGGAAUGUGGCUUCCUUCGGGGAGUGUUAUAGCCCUCGGUGCAAUGUAGCCUACUGGGAUCGAGGACCGCGCUCUGGCUAGGAUGCUGGCGUAAUGGUUGUAAGCGGCCCGUCUUGAAACACGGACC
RNAcentral lists this ribosomal RNA (1176 nucleotides) under uncultured fungus. Its description in RNAcentral is "eukaryotic LSU rRNA". The stretch from base 529 to 1176 matches the Rfam family "Eukaryotic large subunit ribosomal RNA", at positions 1 to 667 of the family's 3401-position model. The record is from RNAcentral. Lineage: Eukaryota; Fungi.